AGUGAACGCUGGCGGUAGGCCUAACACAUGCAAGUCGAACGGCAGCACAGUAAGAGCUUGCUCUUACGGGUGGCGAGUGGCGGACGGGUGAGGAAUACAUCGGAAUCUACUUUUUCGUGGGGGAUAACGUAGGGAAACUUACGCUAAUACCGCAUACGACCUACGGGUGAAAGCAGUGGAUCUUCGGACUUUGCGCGUGUGAAUGAGCCGAUGUCGGAUUAGCUAGUUGGCGGGGUAAAGGCCCACCAAGGCGACGAUCCGUAGCUGGUCUGAGAGGAUGAUCAGCCACACUGGAACUGAGACACGGUCCAGCCUCCUACGGGAGGCAGCAGUGGGGAAUAUUGGACAAUGGGCGCAAGCCUGAUCCAGCCAUACCGCGUGGGUGAAGAAGGCCUUCGGGUUGUAAAGCCCUUUUGUUGGGAAAGAAAAGCAGCAGGUUAAUACCCCGCUGUUCUGACGGUACCCAAAGAAUAAGCACCGGCUAACUUCGUG
This 492-nucleotide ribosomal RNA is filed under the name uncultured bacterium. Its description in RNAcentral is "partial 16S ribosomal RNA". It matches the Rfam family "Bacterial small subunit ribosomal RNA", at positions 29 to 507 of the family's 1533-position model. The record is from RNAcentral.